AAUAUUGGACAAUGGGGCCAACCCUGAUCAAGCAUUCCCGCGUUUUUAAAAAAGGCCUUCGGUUUUUAAGGCAUUUUAAGUUGGGAGGAAGGGCUUUAGGCUAAUCCCCGGAGCUUUUGACUUUACCAACAGAAUAGCCACAGCCUAACUCUGUGCGACAAGCCGCGGUAAUACAGAGGGUGCAAGCGUUAAUCGGAAUUACUGGGCGUAAAGCGCGCGUAGGUGGUUCAGUAAGAUGGGUGUGAAAUCCCCGGGCUUAACCUGGGAACUGCUUUCAUAACUGCUGAGCUAGAGUACGGUAGAGGGUAGUGGAAUUUCCUGUGUAGCGGUGAAAUGCGUAGAUAUAGGAAGGAACACCAGUGGCGAAGGCGACUACCUGGACUGAUACUGACACUGAGGUGCGAAAGCGUGGGGAGCAAACA
RNAcentral lists this ribosomal RNA (422 nucleotides) under uncultured bacterium. RNAcentral describes it as "partial 16S ribosomal RNA". It matches the Rfam family "Bacterial small subunit ribosomal RNA", at positions 360 to 774 of the family's 1533-position model. The record is from RNAcentral.